GAUGAACGCUGGCGGCGUGCUUAACACAUGCAAGUCGAACGAGAAGUGAAGACGGAACCCUUCGGGCGGAAGGCUUUAUUUCGAGUGGCGGACGGGUGAUUAACGCGUGGGUAACCUGCCUCAUACAGGGGGAUAACAGUUGGAAACGACUGUUAAUACCGCAUAAGACCACAGCACCGCAUGGUGCGGGGGUAAAAACUCCGGUGGUAUGAGAUGGACCCGCGUUCGAUUAGCCAGUUGGCGGGGUAACGGCCCACCAAAGCGACGAUCGAUAGCCGAUCUGAGAGGAUGACCGGCCACAUUGGGACUGAGACACGGCCCAAACUCCUACGGGAGGCAGCAGUGGGGAAUAUUGCACAAUGGGGGAAACCCUGAUGCAGCGACGCCGCGUGAGUGAAGAAGUAUUUCGGUAUGUAAAGCUCUAUCAGCAGGGAAGAAAAUGACGGUACCUGAGUAAGAAGCCCCGGCUAACUACGUG
This 478-nucleotide ribosomal RNA is filed under the name uncultured bacterium. Its description in RNAcentral is "partial 16S ribosomal RNA". It matches the Rfam family "Bacterial small subunit ribosomal RNA", at positions 28 to 507 of the family's 1533-position model. The record is from RNAcentral.